This 259-nucleotide ribosomal RNA is filed under the name uncultured Atopobium sp. RNAcentral's name for it is "partial 16S ribosomal RNA". It matches the Rfam family "Bacterial small subunit ribosomal RNA", at positions 97 to 354 of the family's 1533-position model. The record is from RNAcentral. Lineage: Bacteria; Bacillati; Actinomycetota; Coriobacteriia; Coriobacteriales; Atopobiaceae.
GGCGAACGGCUGAGUAACACGUGGGCAACCUGCCCUUUGCACUGGGAUAGCCUCGGGAAACCGAGGUUAAUACCGGAUACUCCAUAUUUGUCGCAUGGCGAAUAUGGGAAAGCUCCGGCGGCAAAGGAUGGGCCCGCGGCCUGUUAGCUAGUUGGUGGGGUAGUGGCCUACCAAGGCAAUGAUGGGUAGCCGGGUUGAGAGACCGACCGGCCAGAUUGGGACUGAGACACGGCCCAGACUCCUACGGGAGGCAGCAGGA